RNAcentral lists this ribosomal RNA (551 nucleotides) under Salmoneus wehrtmanni. RNAcentral's name for it is "partial small subunit ribosomal RNA". Lineage: Eukaryota; Metazoa; Arthropoda; Malacostraca; Decapoda; Alpheidae. The record is from RNAcentral.
GGGUAAAUGAAAGUGUUUUGUUGAAUAAUUAAAAGAGUCUUUGAUGGUUUAUUUUUUAUGUAAAGUUAGUAGUGAAAUCUGGAGUUUAAGUUAUAAAAGAUAAAUUUGAAUAAGAUAUUUUGAGGUUAUGAAAAUAAAGAUAUAAAAUAGGAUUAGAUACCCUACUAUACUUUAUAGAAAAUUUAUACACAGAGGUAGUAGUAGAUAUGGUCUUGAAAUCUAAAAAAUUUGGCGGUAUCUAAGUCUAGUUAGAGGAACCUGUUAUGUAAGCGAUAAUCCACGGAUAUCUAUCCUCAUUUUGUAAUUUUCAGUAUGUAUACCGCCAUUAUUAGGUAGUUUUAAAAGAUAUUUACUAAAAUAAGAUUAAUCUUAGUAUAUUAGGUCAAGGUGCAGCUAAUAGUGAGGGAUUCAAUGGGUUACAUUAAUAUAAAAUUAUACGGAAAGGUAAAGGCAGUUUUUCCUAGAAGGAGGAUUUAAUUGUAAUAAAUGUAUAUUGUGCAUUUUUGAUAAAAGCUCUUAGAUAUGUACAUAUCGCCCGUCGUUCUCAUUAA